RNAcentral lists this ribosomal RNA (253 nucleotides) under uncultured bacterium. RNAcentral's name for it is "partial 16S ribosomal RNA". It matches the Rfam family "Bacterial small subunit ribosomal RNA", at positions 524 to 776 of the family's 1533-position model. The record is from RNAcentral.
UACGGAGGGGGCUAGCGUUGUUCGGAAUGACUGGGCGUAAAGCGCGCGUAGGCGGAUCGUCAAGUCGGGGGUGAAAUCCCGGGGCUCAACCCCGGAAUGGCCUUCGAGACUGGCGGUCUUGAGUUCGAGAGAGGUGGGUGGAAUUCCGAGUGUAGAGGUGAAAUUCGUAGAUAUUCGGAGGAACACCAGUGGCGAAGGCGGCCCACUGGCUCGACACUGACGCUGAGGCGCGAAAGCGUGGGGAGCAAACAGG